Molecule: ribosomal RNA, 253 nt
Filed under: uncultured bacterium
Lineage: Bacteria
Description: partial 16S ribosomal RNA
Rfam family: Bacterial small subunit ribosomal RNA
Source: RNAcentral
GACAGAGGGUGCAAACGUUGCUCGGAAUCACUGGGCGUAAAGGGCGCGUAGGCGGGAUGGCAAGUCAGUCGUGAAAUCUCUCGGCUCAACCGAGAAACGUCGGCUGAUACUGCCGUUCUUGAGGGAUGCAGAGGAGACUGGAAUUCCCGGUGUAGCGGUGAAAUGUGUAGAGAUCGGGAGGAACACCGGUGGCGAAGGCGGGUCUCUGGGCAUUUCCUGACGCUGAGGCGCGAAAGCGUGGGGAGCAAACGGG